AAGCGUAUUAUAUUGCGUUACGGUAAUCAACGGUUCAGGCAAGUUUUUCAAGUUCUUUUUACUUAAACUCUUUUAAGAGUGGUUUCAGACAGAUAUGCUUAUGAAUUGUACUCUGUACAUAUUGCAUGUAUUCAUCAGGUAUGAAAGGCUGAUCACCUUCAUUACCAGUCAGUUCAGAUAUAAUUGUUAUGUUCAUUUUCAAUGUUCAUUCAGCUUUGAAAUUUUGUUCAUGCUAAUUCACAACUACAUUGUGAAGGAUAGCCAGCUUAUUAUUCAAACUCUUUCAAUCAUGAUAUAUCUUUACCUUGUUUUUUUUAAACUUGCUGGGCAACUUUCAUGCUCACCCUUGCUAUAUCAUGAUAAAACAUUGCAGAUAAGGCGAAUACGGCCAGAUACAGAAAAAGGAUAAUGCCAAGUUCAGCUUGGUACAGAAUGUGAAGUUAAGUUGUAAAGUAUGUUGAAGAAUAGUAUUGUCAUGUGCUAGAUAGUUCAUGAUUGUGUAUAAGUAAAGGUUACUCGAUUCUGGGGAAAUGUGUGUAAAGUUUAAUGUAUAAACAAUCUAUGUUUAUAUCUUCCGCAAACAGUUGUAGAAAUAGCGAACCGGAUCCGCGGCGAUUCGGGACCCGGAUUUGGGGCUGCCACAACUAACGUGAUGUGGAGGUCAGUUACCCAUCAUGGGUUAACUGUCCAUAACAUAAAU
Molecule: long non-coding RNA, 700 nt
Filed under: Panax ginseng (ginseng)
Lineage: Eukaryota; Viridiplantae; Streptophyta; Magnoliopsida; Apiales; Araliaceae
Description: long non-coding RNA (PGIN_LNC006915)
Source: RNAcentral